Molecule: long non-coding RNA, 1066 nt
Organism: Marmota flaviventris (yellow-bellied marmot)
Lineage: Eukaryota; Metazoa; Chordata; Mammalia; Rodentia; Sciuridae
Source: RefSeq, a predicted model, not a curated record
UUCCGUAAAACUCGGUGACCGCUCGCCCCACCUUCCGCGCUAGAACUCCUUCCCGGAUUCGCCAACGGCCACGGAUUUCUUGGGGAACUACUUCCGGUCUCGGGCCGGCACGUGAGUCCCUCCCAAGAGCCGGAGGGAACCCAAGGGCUGAUUAAUUAUAAGUACUAUUCCUAACAAAAGAACCUGAGUUAAGACAAUAAGCCAUCACCUACAGGAGGGAGAGAACAUAAUGCUGACUUCCAGUACUGAUACUGACCCUAAUUAAACAAAAGGGGUAACUGUCAAAUUGUAGACAUUAAAGCUAAAACUCAUUACUCCUACUUUAAGACUGCUGAAACUGGCCUGCUUUGUAUUUAAAGCCAAAACUUGGAGACAAAAGUUAAGGAAGUAAAAGGGCUAAGAAAAAGAAAACAGCCAAUAUUCUGGUACUUGCCUUCUAAAGUCAGCCAGAACCCUGGAAAUGAUGGACUCAUAAGGGACCUACAAUUCUGGUGAGUCACCCAAUUUCUGAUCAGGGGGAUCAUGAGAGCCCUAGAGGACAGGAAGCCAACCAGUGCGUAUUCUGCAAAAAAGAAGGUUAUUGGAGAGGGAAAUGUCUCUGAUGCUUCCAGGGGAAGCCACAUGUGGUCAGCAUGACCCUGACCCAUCCUGAUAGAUGGCAUGGCUGGUAGAAGAAAAGCUAAAGGAGCGAAGAGCUUCUCCCAAGUUCCUAAGAGUGACCCUCUGGCAAAUCUCAGCUGACUUUAACAGUAAAUAAAAACAAGGUCAAUUUUUAACCAACUUGCUCUUGAACACCUGGCUGGAAAGAACAACCAAAGCACAGCCAUACAUGGACUUUGAGAAAGAAAAGACAAUGGUUCUUUUAGUAUAACUCAAGAUGUACACUGUGUCAGUCCUUUCAAGGGAUUCCUGAGACCAUUUAUGGUGACAACCUAAUAUCCAGAAACCUUUGCUUGUUAUUCUUGCUCACUGUCUGAGAUUAAAACAUCAGAAUCAACAAAUGGGAUUGUAUCAAACUAAAAAGCUUCUUCAUAGCAAAGGAAACAAUCAAGAGCACAAAGAGAGA